CCGCCGGGAAGAAGGACGUCGAUUGGUGCCGCUGAGUGUCACUUGAGGAAGACCCCGCGGAUAUUGGCAUUUCUCUCGGGCCUGUCAUUCUACAGCGCCCACUAAAAUCAGUCAUCUUCCUGCAAAGGCAUGAGGAGGAAAAGAGAGGCAGUAACUGAGCGAUAAUAUGCUGUAUGAGCCUCCUGCUCUGCUGCCCAUUACCUGCGUCACCUCCACAAGCUACUGAACCUCAAGGAA
RNAcentral lists this long non-coding RNA (237 nucleotides) under Pan troglodytes (chimpanzee). RNAcentral's name for it is "long non-coding RNA NONPTRT002642". The record is from RNAcentral. Lineage: Eukaryota; Metazoa; Chordata; Mammalia; Primates; Hominidae.